Molecule: non-coding RNA, 69 nt
Organism: Acanthoscelides obtectus
Lineage: Eukaryota; Metazoa; Arthropoda; Insecta; Coleoptera; Chrysomelidae
Source: the annotation of a GenBank genome assembly
GCCUCUGUAGCUCAGUGGCAAAGCACUGGUCUUGUCAACCCGGAGUCGUGAGUUCAAUAACAGGAGGCU